Molecule: ribosomal RNA, 1587 nt
Filed under: Odorrana ishikawae (Ishikawa's frog)
Lineage: Eukaryota; Metazoa; Chordata; Amphibia; Anura; Ranidae
Description: 16S rRNA
Rfam family: Bacterial large subunit ribosomal RNA
Source: RNAcentral
GCCUUAAAUCUAGCCCACACAAUUCACAUGAUGCCUAAUGACUACUGUAAAAAAUAAAACAUUUUAACAUCUUAGUAUAGGAGACAGAAAAAUUAUUAAGCGCUUUAGAUACAGUACCGCAAGGGAAACAUGAAAUAGAAAUGAAAUAACAUUAUAGCCUCAAACAGCAGAGACGCCCCCUCGUACCUUUUGCAUCAUGGUCUAGCUAGUCCACCCAAGCAAAAUGAAAAUUUUAGUUUGACACCCCGAAACUAAGCGAGCUACUUCAAAACAGCCUAAGGAGCCAACCCGUCUCUGUUGCAAAAGAGUGGGAAGAUUUUCAAGUAGAGGUGAUAAGCCUAUCGAGCUUAGAGAUAGCUGGUUGUUCAGGAAAAGAGUUUUAGCUCUGCCUUAAGUUUUCUUAUUAUAUUAAACAAAGCCGUGAACUUAAGAGUUAUUCAAAUUAGGCACAGCUUAUUUGAAAUAGGACACAACCUCCGCCACCGGGUAAACAAGGAUAGCUAAAAUAAAGUGGGCCUAAAAGCAGCCACCUUUAAAAAAGCGUCAAAGCUUAGCUACUCUCAUCCUCAAUCUCUAAAAUAUCCUCCAACCCCUCACCCGUACUGAACCAUUCUAUAUCCCUAUAGAAAAUAUUAUGCUAGAACUAGUAACAAGAAAUUGCCAUUCUCCAUAAUGUAAGCAUAAGCCGAAACGGACCAUCCAUCGGCGAUUAACGUAAAUGCAAAACCCAUAAUAACACAUACCAGAAAACCCUAUGAUUCAUCGACACGUUACCCUUACACCAGAACAUUACAGGAAAGAUUAAAAGAAAAAGAAGGAACUCGGCAAAUUUUAGCCCCGCCUGUUUACCAAAAACAUCGCCUCUUGCCCAAACAUAAGAGGUCUAGCCUGCCCAGUGACAAAAUUCAACGGCCGCGGUAUACUAACCGUGCGAAGGUAGCAUAAUCACUUGUUCUUUAAAUAGGGACUCGUAUCAACGGCAUCACGAGGGCUAUACUGUCUCCUUUAUCUAAUCAGUGAAACUGAUCCCCCCGUGAAGAAGCGGGGAUACAAUUAUAAGACGAGAAGACCCCAUGGAGCUUUAAACCCAACACACACCUCUUCACCCAGAUAUCAAUUUAACCAAAGAGGCCUGUGCAUUGGUUUUAGGCUGGGGGGGCCACGGAGUAAAAUUAAACCUCCAUAACAAAUGGGCUAAUACCCUUAUCCGCGAUAUUACAAAUCUAAGAAUCACCAAAAUGAUGUUUAAUGACCCGAUAAUUCGAUCAAUGAACCAAGUUACCCUGGGGAUAACAGCGCAAUCCACUUCAAGAGCCCCUAUCGACAAGUGGGUUUACGACCUCGAUGUUGGAUCAGGGUAUCCUAGUGGUGCAACCGCUACUAACGGUUCGUUUGUUCAACGAUUAAAACCCUACGUGAUCUGAGUUCAGACCGGAGUAAUCCAGGUCGGUUUCUAUCUAUAAAGGAUCUCCCCUAGUACGAAAGGACCGGGGUGAUACGGCCAAUGCACAAACAAGCCGGAUUCUCCCAUCAAUGAAACAAUCUCAAUUGACCAAGACCUUGCACUUACCCCUAGACCAGGGGUAU